This 61-nucleotide non-coding RNA is filed under the name Ctenophora environmental sample. Lineage: Eukaryota; Metazoa; Ctenophora. The record is from RNAcentral.
AGAGAGCAAAGAGAGCAAAGAGAGCAAAGAGAGCAAAGCCGACGCCUCUGCGGUUGCUCAC